Molecule: ribosomal RNA, 465 nt
Filed under: uncultured Haemophilus sp.
Lineage: Bacteria; Pseudomonadati; Pseudomonadota; Gammaproteobacteria; Pasteurellales; Pasteurellaceae
Description: bacterial SSU rRNA
Rfam family: Bacterial small subunit ribosomal RNA
Source: RNAcentral
CCUACGGGCGGCAGCAGUGGGGAAUAUUGCGCAAUGGGGGGAACCCUGACGCAGCCAUGCCGCGUGAAUGAAGAAGGCCUUCGGGUUGUAAAGUUCUUUCGGUAUUGAGGAAGGUUGAUGUGUUAAUAGUACAUCAAAUUGACGUUAAAUACAGAAGAAGCACCGGCUAACUCCGUGCCAGCAGCCGCGGCAAUACGGAGGGUGCGAGCGUUAAUCGGAAUAACUGGGCGUAAAGGGCACGCAGGCGGUUAUUUAAGUGAGGUGUGAAAGCCCCGGGCUUAACCUGGGAAUUGCAUUUCAGACUGGGUAACUAGAGUACUUUAGGGAGGGGUAGAAUUCCACGUGUAGCGGUGAAAUGCGUAGAGAUGUGGAGGAAUACCGAAGGCGAAGGCAGCCCCUUGGGAAUGUACUGACGCUCAUGUGCGAAAGCGUGGGGAGCAAACAGGAUUAGAUACCCCUGUAGUC